This 382-nucleotide ribosomal RNA is filed under the name uncultured marine Chaetocerotaceae. Its description in RNAcentral is "SSU rRNA". It matches the Rfam family "Eukaryotic small subunit ribosomal RNA", at positions 587 to 972 of the family's 1831-position model. The record is from RNAcentral. Lineage: Eukaryota; Bacillariophyta; Thalassiosirophyceae; Chaetocerotales; Chaetocerotaceae.
AGCUUCAGUAGCGUAUAUUAAAGUUGUUGCAGUUAAAAAGCUCGUAGUCGCAUUUCUGGCGAGAGGAUCCGGUCCGACCUUUUGGUGGGUUCUUGGGUCUCUUUCGCCAUCCUUGAGUGGUCCGUUCUGGCAUUAGGUUGUCGGAGCGUCAGCCGCUCAUCGUUUACUGUGAGAAAAUUAGAGUGUUCAAAGCAGGCUUAUGCCGUUGAAUAUAUUAGCAUGGAAUAAUAAGAUAGGACCUCGGUACUAUUUUGUUUGUUUGCGCUCCAAGGUAAUGAUGAACAGGGACAGUUGGGGGUAUUUGUAUUUCGUUGUCAGAGGUGAAAUUCUUAGAUUUACGAAAGACAAACUACUGCGAAAGCAUUUACCAAGGAUGUUUUCA